UAGAGGGUUUUAAGCACUGUUCAUCAAAAGAAAUCUGCAAGGGCCGGGUCAAGGGUCGGGUCUUGGAGCGGUUUUUCGAUUACCUAUGCAGGAGAACCCGAUACAGCUGCAAAGUAGGGCAGGUAGCCAGGUACGGCCAAUCUCCUCCUGCAGAUUGCAAUCUUCUGCAAUCUUCCCUCUACCGCAUUUGCCCCUCUCCUUGAGCUUGAAUAUCUGAGAUUGGUUGAUGAUGUUUGCUAUAAAAAUUGGAUCGAGUUUCAUACCCUGGCACACUUGGAUCGGAUAAUUCUACUACGCUUCCUGAUCCGUCGCUCCGGCAGCGGUCACUCGGCGCCGGAUGAACGUCUCCGCCGAGACCCUCUUUUCUGACCCCUAAGGUGUUCGACUAUUUCUCCAAACCAACCGUCCGCGUCGAACACCAAGCAGGUGCAGAAGCUCACUGGGUCCAAGAAUGUGAGGAUUAAGACCCAGCUUGACCCGAGUUUAGUGGCUAUAAGAAUUGAAUCCGGAGAAAGAGAAAUAGUAGCUGAUUCUUCAUCAAAGGAAAAUAAAGCAUAAGAUGAAAAAAGGAAUGAUUUUAUGCCAGUUUGGUGUAGUUGGAAAGCAACAUGCUCACAGGAGAGAUGCCUCCAAGACUUGGCAAGCAGCUAGGACCAGAAUUAUUGUUUGGAAGAAACCAUUCUGUUCAAUUUAAUUGGUUGGAACUUUACAUAGGUACAAUAAGCUAUGCAACUUUAUGAGGAGAUGAAACAUUUGUUGUGGAUCCUCCAAUUACCCUCUGGAUUUUGAAAUGGAUGCUUGACUGAGAUCUAUGUUUUGAGAGCUCCCAAUCACAACACCACUUGAAUGAGCUGUCUGUGUAAGACAUUUUAAUGUGUAUUUGACUAAACUUUGCCAUAUGAUAUAUCCUGAUUUUUUUAAAUGAUAGUUGACUGGUUUUUUGAACAAGGAUGGUGAUUUUGUUUCAGUUAGCUAACUAACUUAGGACCAUGAAUGCUGGAAUUGAAGGAGAAGAAGAAAUUAGCAUCAGCAAGAAGUAGCAUGUUGAAUUGAAGGAGAUGGAACUAGCAUCACAAGAAGGAAUUGAAGGAGGAUUAGAAAUUAGUAUCAGCAAGAAGUAGCAUGUGGAAUUGAAGGAGAUGGAAGUAGCAUCACAAGAAGUAAUUGAGCAGUUUUCGUUUGAGAGAGAAUGGAAAAAAUGAAGAAAUGUGAGCCAAGUAUAUAUUUGUACUCAUUUAUCUUUAUGUAAAAAACACAAUUAAUUGAUCAUUUUUCCUUUUAUUUUGUAUUAAAAUCCCAUUAUCUGUACUUUGGAGCAUUUUUUUUCCAGCUCCCACAAACGGUUGCUUGAUUUUAAAUAAAAAUGUAUGCUUCAUGAAAUUUUACUCACAA
Long non-coding RNA from Lotus japonicus, 1392 nucleotides. RefSeq lists it as uncharacterized. NCBI's taxonomy places the organism in Eukaryota, Viridiplantae, Streptophyta, Magnoliopsida, Fabales, Fabaceae. The record is from RefSeq and is a predicted model, not a curated record. The transcript has 6 exons.